GGGGGAAAAGCUAGCUGUGGAUAAACUGCGAUAUGUGACAUUGUCGAAGGUGUAACUGUUACCAUGUUAGCUACGCUUUUAAACAUUUUCAAAACUCUUCAAAUUCGGGGAAGACGUACUUGAGAACAUUACCUUGGGAUUAUUAAAGCAGCCAUCUUUUAUCAAAACAAAACGGCUCAAGUACAGUAAGUAAGCUAGAGAAACCGUUUCGUCUUGAACCAGACCAAAUUCGUUGGCUAGCUAGUCCUUCUCGAGAAGCGGGGUUCGCCGAGAGAAGAUGACUGGUGUGGUCUGCGUUGAUCAAGAACCUUCUCGCCAUCCAGACACCCUUGGACGGAUUUAAAAGCGGAUUUGUGUAGCUAAAUAUCCGUACUUUUGACAUCAAAUCAUCUGAGUACUAAACACACAGAUUAAAUCGCGUCUUCAACGAAGGAUUUUGAGGAGUUCUCUAACCCCCCCCACAGACUGUUGUUGUGAGAGGAGCAGAGACCAGCCAGACACUGACCGUCUCAUCACCAGAGUACCCGAAGCUCUCGCUUCACCCACAAAUAAACAAAGGAUACAUUUCAAGAUGUAUCCGCAGGGCCGACAUCCGGCACCUGGACAUGGUCAGCCGAGUCAGCCUGGGUUCAAGUUCACCGUAGCGGAGUCCUGCGACAGGAUCAAAGACGAGUUUCAGUUCCUGCAGGCCCAAUAUCACAGUCUUAAGGUGGAGUACGACAAGCUGUCCAAUGAGAAGACAGAGAUGCAGCGCCACUAUGUCAUGGU
Salvelinus namaycush (lake trout) is the source of this 768-nucleotide long non-coding RNA. RefSeq lists it as uncharacterized. The transcript is spliced from 4 exons. The record is from RefSeq and is a predicted model, not a curated record. NCBI's taxonomy places the organism in Eukaryota, Metazoa, Chordata, Actinopteri, Salmoniformes, Salmonidae.